UACGGAGGGUGCAAGCGUUAUCCGGAUUCACUGGGUUUAAAGGGGGCGUAGGUGGGCAGGUAAGUCAGUGGUGAAAUCUCCGGGCUUAACUCGGAAACUGCCAUUGAUACUAUCUUUCUUGAAUACCGUGGAGGUCAGCGGAAUAUGUCAUGUAGCGGUGAAAUGCUUAGAUAUGACAUAGAACACCAAUUGCGAAGGCAGCUGGCUACACGAAUAUUGACACUGAUGCACGAAAGCGUGGGGAUCAAACAGG
RNAcentral lists this ribosomal RNA (253 nucleotides) under uncultured bacterium. Its description in RNAcentral is "partial 16S ribosomal RNA". It matches the Rfam family "Bacterial small subunit ribosomal RNA", at positions 524 to 776 of the family's 1533-position model. The record is from RNAcentral.